This 85-nucleotide transfer RNA is filed under the name Felis catus (domestic cat). It matches the Rfam family "tRNA". From Rfam's summary of the family: Transfer RNA (tRNA) molecules are approximately 80 nucleotides in length. Their secondary structure includes four short double-helical elements and three loops (D, anti-codon, and T loops). Lineage: Eukaryota; Metazoa; Chordata; Mammalia; Carnivora; Felidae. RNAcentral also lists the same sequence under 1 other name. The record is from Rfam by way of RNAcentral.
GCCUAGGUGGCUCAGUCAGUUAAGCAUCUGACUUCAGCUCAGGUCAUGAUCUCACGGUCUGUGGGUUUGAGCCCCACAUUGGGCU